Mycetomoellerius zeteki is the source of this 612-nucleotide long non-coding RNA. RefSeq lists it as uncharacterized. Lineage: Eukaryota; Metazoa; Arthropoda; Insecta; Hymenoptera; Formicidae. The transcript is spliced from 3 exons. The record is from RefSeq and is a predicted model, not a curated record.
UAACCCUCGUCCUAUCUCUUUUCUGUCAAUAUUCCGUUCCGUUAUUUCUUUCUCCAUGGGAAGGCAGCCUUAUUCUCACAUUAGGCUCGGACGAACGCCAUUUUGAACUGCGAGCGGUUUAUUAUCGCGGAUCAGUGCGGACGAGACGAGACGAGACAAAACGAGACGAGACGGACGAGAUGCUUCUCGCAAGUUAGUAUCGAUGAUGAAAAUUGGUGUGAUUUAUUUUUUAUAGUUGCACAGACAGAAUUGAACGAAUGCUAACGAAAUUAUUGAUUGAACGUUGUGAACAAAAAUGAGAAUGACGACAGGAGAGAGAGAGAGGGAAAAAGAGAGGGGGAGAGAGAGAGAGAGAGAGAACGAGACACGAGUAUAGGAAAAGAAAGAGGUGUACUUAAGCUUCACGACCGUCGUCUACCUAAUCAUCCAGAUUCAUCAUUCGCGUUCGCAUCGCUACAUAUGUUUUUCUUCGUAUGUUGCGUGGGUGGACUAGCUACUGGAGGUGAACCAACAUUCACCGUACAAUGAUGCUGCGACAAUGUGGCGCCGGGUGGGAGAAAUGUAUUGAAACCAACGAUGAGUUCAGGAUGUCCUUUGAAGAGGUGACUCACU